Molecule: long non-coding RNA, 710 nt
Organism: Zonotrichia albicollis (white-throated sparrow)
Lineage: Eukaryota; Metazoa; Chordata; Aves; Passeriformes; Passerellidae
Source: RefSeq, a predicted model, not a curated record
UAAUAACAUGGUUCUACUUUUAUCAACAUUCAGGUAUUCAAGAUGAUUCAGUAGUCUCAACGUGGAUCAGCUCAGAUCCUGACAGUUAAGCGUGGUAGCGGGGGACACUGUCUUCGUACCUGGAGCGCCGGAAGAACCCGCACUGCGCACAGAAGGAGAACAACAGUUCAGCUCCAAGUUGCUGCCAAAAUACUGCAACUGCAGAGGCAGUAAAUUCUUCCAUCACACAAAUAUGCAGGGAGAAGACAUUUCACAUGAACAAAUGAAUGAGGUGAUCCUGUUCUCAUUAAAGCAUCAAAAGGUUGUUUAAAAUAGCUGUCAGAGACAAAAGAGGGAAAAAGAUACAAUGAAGCAGGACCUGUGAAACAGGAUCUCUGUGUUCAGUUCAGCUAAAGGAUACUGAAGUGCCAGGACGAUUUGCUCUUCUUCCAAUAGCAGUGAGUACCAGAAAUUACUGAUCUGCUGAGAGCUUAUGCUUAUUACAUAAUGUUUAUUACCCUCAUGUUUAUUUACAGUAUUUAUGGACUAUGAACACUUAAAACAGAAGAAGCAUUCUGUAAAGUAUUCAAGCAGUAUUCUAGGGAGUAUAAUGAAGUUCCAUUCCCACCCUGCAAACUGGACACAGUGACCCUCAAAAUCAAACAAAAAAACCCAAAGAAACCCAACAACAACCAACCAAACAUUUUAAAGAAGGAAGUGAAAUAGUAGUA